RNAcentral lists this ribosomal RNA (485 nucleotides) under Escherichia coli. RNAcentral describes it as "bacterial SSU rRNA". It matches the Rfam family "Bacterial small subunit ribosomal RNA", at positions 806 to 1291 of the family's 1533-position model. The record is from RNAcentral. Lineage: Bacteria; Pseudomonadati; Pseudomonadota; Gammaproteobacteria; Enterobacterales; Enterobacteriaceae.
ACGAUGUCGACUUGGAGGUUGUGCCCUUGAGGCGUGGCUUCCGGAGCUAACGCGUUAAGUCGACCGCCUGGGGAGUACGGCCGCAAGGUUAAAACUCAAAUGAAAUUGACGGGGGCCCGCACAAGCGGUGGAGCAUGUGGUUUAAUUCGAUGCAACGCGAAGAACCUUACCUGGUCUUGACAUCCACAGAACUUUCCAGAGAUGGAUUGGUGCUUCGGGAACUGUGAAACAGGUGCUGCAUGGCUGUCGUCAGCUCGUGUUGUGAAAUGUUGGGUUAAGUCCCGCAACGAGCGCAACCCUUAUCCUUUGUUGCCAGCGGUCCGGCCGGGAACUCAAAGGAGACUGCCAGUGAUAAACUGGAGGAAGGUGGGGAUGACGUCAAGUCAUCAUGGCCCUUACGACCAGGGCUACACACGUGCUACAAUGGCGCAUACAAAGAGAAGCGACCUCGCGAGUGCAAGCGGACCUCAUAAAGUGCGUCGUAG